CGGGCGGCGUGGAAGACUGCAAGUCGAACGCUGAUUAGAGGGUAGCAAUAUUCUCUAGUCGGAGUGGCGCAAGGGUGCGUAACACGUGGGCAAUCUGCCGUGAAGUCUGGGAUAACUCGCUGAAAGGCGAGCUAAUACCGGAUGAGACUGUUGGGAGGCAUCUCUUGACAGUGAAAGCUGGGGACCGCAAGGCCUGGCACUUUACGAUGAGCCCGCGGCCUAUCAGCUAGUUGGUGAGGUAACGGCUCACCAAGGCUAAGACGGGUAGCUGGUCUGAGAGGACGACCAGCCACACUGGAACUGAGACACGGUCCAGACACCUACGGGUGGCAGCAGUCGAGAAUUUUUCACAAUGGGCGCAAGCCUGAUGGAGCGACGCCGCGUGGGGGAUGAAGGGUUUCGAUCCGUAAACCCCUGUCAUUUGCGAACAAACCUUAUUCAAUAACACUGGAUGAGCUGAUUGUAGCGGAAGAGGAAGGGACGGCUAACUCUGUGCCAGCAGCCGCGGUAAUACAGAGGUCCCAAGCGUUGUUCGGAUUCACUGGGCGUAAAGGGUGCGUAGGUGGCCAGGUAAGUUCGGUGUGAAAGCUCGGAGCUUAACUCCGAGAAGGCAUUGAAUACUAUCUGGCUGGAGGGUCGGAGGGGAGACUGGAAUUCUCGGUGUAGCAGUGAAAUGCGUAGAUAUCGAGAGGAACACCAGUGGCGAAGGCGAGUCUCUGGACGACAUCUGACACUGAGGCACGAAAGCUAGGGGAGCAAACAGGAUUAGAUACCCUGGUAGUCCUAGCUGUAAACGGUGCACGUUUGCUGUAAGAGGAAU
This 820-nucleotide ribosomal RNA is filed under the name uncultured bacterium. RNAcentral describes it as "bacterial SSU rRNA". It matches the Rfam family "Bacterial small subunit ribosomal RNA", at positions 36 to 832 of the family's 1533-position model. The record is from RNAcentral.